This 459-nucleotide long non-coding RNA is filed under the name Apteryx owenii (little spotted kiwi). RNAcentral's name for it is "lncRNA (ENSAOWG00000019476.1)". Lineage: Eukaryota; Metazoa; Chordata; Aves; Apterygiformes; Apterygidae. The record is from RNAcentral.
GUUUGGGGAGGGCCGCGUUGCUCGGAAAUGGUCCUUAAUAUGGGUCACUCGUGUGAUCGGGUCUAGGGAAGCGCCUGGUUUCCCUAGAAGUUCCCUCAGUGGCUCUCCUCGUGCACUUCUUAUUUGAGUGGUCCCGAAAAACGGCUUUUGUAAACGAGUCGCACUAGUAUGCUCUUAAGAUAUCCUCCUGAUUCCAGAUUAAAUUUUUUCAAUUCUCAGAUAAGAAAGAACAUGUAUAAGUGCCACGUCUGCAAGCUCACAUCAUGCACUCAGCUAUCCCAGUCUGGACUAGGAGCUCAUUGUGGUAACGUGGUAAGAUGCAGACCUUCUCCCAGAAUCAGGAGUCCUAAGGGAUUAAAGAAAAUAACAGACAAGGGAUAGUGUUACGAGAUGCAACAUACAAACCAAAUGGUUAUGGUUUAACAAGACAGUGCUGCAGCAAGAUUGCAUGUUAUGAGG